UUGUGGGUGAGGGAGGGCAGAAAGGGAGAGUGCUGGGCGGGCUUAGUCGGAGAUUGAGGACUGGGAAUCCGCUUCCGGGAGGGCACUGUCUAGUGCACAGGCAACCUAGCCUUGGCCUCCUAGCCCGAGAAGCCGAAUCUCCCUAAUCCCUGUGACCUGUGUCACCUCUGCAUCGCGAGGAGGGGGAUAAGUGGGGAGAAGUCUGAUGUCAGAUGGGAUGGCGCCGGAAAAGGGUGCCACAGCGGGGACGGAAGGCGCCCCCACCCCAACUCCACGGGAAUAUAAACAAUUUGUAUUUUCCGAUCAGGUGGCGGGACAGGCUUCAUUGGGACAGCCCUAACCCAGCUGCUGAAUGCCAGAGGCCACGAAGUGACGUUGGUCUCCCGAAAACCCGGGCCCGGCCGGAUCACGUGGGUAAGUCCAUCCUCUGGAAGCGGGUGGGAGGGCAGAGUUGGGCGGCGCAGGGCGGGGCAGGGGUACUGGGUGCUUUCUCCGACAGGAUGAGCUCGCUGCAUCGGGGCUGCCGAGCUGCGAUGCCGCCGUCAACCUGGCCGGAGAGAACAUCCUCAACCCUCUCCGAAGAUGGAAUGAAACCUUCCAAAAAGAGGUUCUCGGCAGCCGCCUAGAGACCACCCAAUUGCUGGCUAAAGCCAUCACCAAAGCCCCACAACCCCCCAAGGCCUGGGUCUUAGUCACAGGUGUAGCUUACUACCAGCCCAGUCUGACUGCGGAGUAUGAUGAAGACAGCCCAGGAGGGGACUUUGACUUUUUCUCCAACCUCGUAACCAAAUGGGAAGCUGCAGCCAGGCUUCCUGGAGAUUCUACACGCCAGGUGGUGGUGCGCUCAGGGGUUGUGCUGGGCCGUGGGGGUGGUGCCAUGGGCCACAUGCUGCUGCCCUUUCGCCUGGGCCUGGGGGGCCCCAUCGGCUCAGGCCACCAAUUCUUCCCCUGGAUACACAUCGGGGACCUGGCAGGAAUCCUGACCCAUGCCCUUGAAGCAAACCACGUGCACGGGGUCCUGAAUGGAGUAGCUCCAUCCUCCGCCACUAAUGCUGAGUUUGCCCAGACCUUGGGUGCUGCCCUGGGCCGCCGAGCCUUCAUCCCUCUCCCCAGCGCUGUGGUGCAAGCUGUCUUUGGGCGACAGCGUGCCAUCAUGCUGCUGGAGGGCCAGAAGGUGAUCCCACGGCGAACACUGGCCACUGG
RNAcentral lists this small RNA (1203 nucleotides) under Pan troglodytes (chimpanzee). RNAcentral's name for it is "retained intron". Lineage: Eukaryota; Metazoa; Chordata; Mammalia; Primates; Hominidae. The record is from RNAcentral.